UCACAAUAUCAAGCUUGGCUUGCUGUUGGGCCCUUUGUCACUUGGUGACAGGUCCGAAAGACAAUGCCCGGUGUUAUACACUCCACAUGCAACGAGCUUCUAACAGCACGCAUCUGGUGGUUGUGUGACCCGUGGGCUGCCUCUGGCACCCUCUCUUAA
This 159-nucleotide unclassified non-coding RNA is filed under the name uncultured Eurotiomycetes. Its description in RNAcentral is "sequence contains ITS2". Lineage: Eukaryota; Fungi; Ascomycota; Eurotiomycetes. The record is from RNAcentral.